Molecule: ribosomal RNA, 502 nt
Filed under: uncultured bacterium
Lineage: Bacteria
Description: bacterial SSU rRNA
Rfam family: Bacterial small subunit ribosomal RNA
Source: RNAcentral
GAUGAACGCUAGCUACAGGCUUAACACAUGCAAGUCGAGGGGAAACGAUAUUGGAAGCUUGCUUCCGAUAGGCGUCGACCGGCGCACGGGUGAGUAACGCGUAUCCAACCUGCCCACCACUUGGGGAUAACCUUGCGAAAGUAAGACUAAUACCCGAUGAUAUCCCUAGAAGACAUCUGAAAGGGAUUAAAGAUUUAUCGGUGAUGGAUGGGGAUGCGUCUGAUUAGCUUGUUGGCGGGGUAACGGCCCACCAAGGCUACGAUCAGUAGGGGUUCUGAGAGGAAGGUCCCCCACAUUGGAACUGAGACACGGUCCAAAACUCCUACGGGAGGCAGCAGUGAGGAAUAUUGGUCAAUGGACGAGAGUCUGAACCAGCCAAGUAGCGUGCAGGAUGACGGCCCUAUGGGUUGUAAACUGCUUUUAUAAGGGAAUAAAGUUAGUCUCGUGAGACUUUUUGCAUGUACCUUAUGAAUAAGACCGGCUAAUUCCGUGCCAGCAGCCG